Cygnus olor (mute swan) is the source of this 5804-nucleotide long non-coding RNA. RefSeq lists it as uncharacterized. The record is from RefSeq and is a predicted model, not a curated record. The transcript has 3 exons. NCBI's taxonomy places the organism in Eukaryota, Metazoa, Chordata, Aves, Anseriformes, Anatidae.
AGCAACACAGGGCAUUAAAUGCACACAGGAGAAAGGAAGAAACAGGAUUAACAGCGACUCUACUCAGCCUGCUACAAAGUGACCUGGGAUUCCACCUAUUCUCUGGAAUACUUUGGCAUAAUCCUAAACUAGUAGGUCACUAACACACAUUCGAUUUUUACAGGGACACAGUAAAUGCUGAAAGACAGAUUUAAAAAGUGCAUUCACCUCUUUCCACAGUGUGAAUGGUAUUUGGUAAGAUAAUAGGGCUUAAGUAGACGUUUGAGAAUUGUUUUGCAAAUUCAUUUAAAAACGCAUGCUCGAUUUAAUUGUCACUACUGUCUGGGUUAACCUGCGCAACUUCAUUUCAAAGAGAAUCUACUGUAAUGCACAUCAAUGGUAGAACAAAUUCUGAUCUCACUUAUACUAGUGCAAAUCAGAGUAAUUUCAUUGCAAUCAGCGGGCAAUUGUGGCCUGUGCCAAUUUUACUUCAUGGUAGUUCUAUAUAUUCCAAUGAAUUUAUUCUGAUUUUACACUCUAGGAGAGAUAAAGGAGGUCUGAGAAGAACAUCUGGGUUUCUAUUUAUGUAUAGGAGAUAAGAAUUUGCCUUGUCUUACAAGCAGAUGUAAAUAUAUGUAUCAAUGUAUGUGUGCAUAUAUAUAUAUAUGUAUAAAUAUACACACAUGUGUACAUACAAUAUAUCUAUAUUUAUAUACACAUAGAAAUGCGUACUCUUGGAAACAGGAGAGAAAAAAAAAAUAUAUAUAUAUAUAUUUGUACACACACUUCUCUAAUUAGAAUACUCAUGCAGGUUACCAUAUAAAUAGUAAAUGUCACGUGUUCUAUUAUACUGGUGGUAUCCAACAUGUAUCUAAUUGAUUAUUUAGUCCUUGAUACAAAAAAAAGUCUUAAAUUUUACAGUAGAUUCCUUUUUUUUUUUUUUUUUUCUCCCAAUCCAGGUUGCUUUGCUACAGACAUCAAGCACAUAACCAGGAAGAUCUCAUGCCAAAACAAAAAUGAAGGCCACAGUACUUUAAGAAAAAGAUACAGACAUACCACCAAAACAAAACCACAUACCACAAGAGUUGAAAAAUGGUCCACUAAGGGUUAGCAGUGCAAUGUCCCAGUGGAAAACUUACAGAUGCAGAAAACCAGCUACAGGGAACUCUCCUAGCACAAGAGAAUUGGUCCAAGCCUCUGUUAUGAUGCGUGCUUUAGAGGCAGUUAAUAACACCGUGUUCUCGAAGAAGAGUUUCACAUUUCGGUGCAAACACUGUGAGCAACAGAACUACUACCCCCAUAAUUACCACAAGCUGAUGAGUGCACUUACUGAAUAAAAUUAGCAAUCACAUUUUUCAUUGUGUAAGCUGUCACGAAUACAAUGUUUAUGAUUCAUUUAUUUUUCAUUGUUGACGUAAUACUCAAGAUUGCAUACUUUAACAGGAUCAUCUUCUUUUCUGCCCAUCACUGAAAAUACUAGUGCUAGUUCAUCUGCCUGUCUUAUAUCCACCUUAGCUUAUCUCCCUGUGUGUCUCAGCAGUGCCAAGAACACCGUCAACUGCUAGAAUACAUACACACAAAAGGUAAGGGUCCAAAUCAAAAAAUCUCUCUUCUGACCACAAUAAUGGGUACUGUUGCUUUUAAUAUGGUGCUUUUUCUCUGUACGGUAAUUCCUUUCAGACUAACUCAAAGAUAAACAGAGUGCCUUCUCAGAAAGCACACAUUACACAAUUCAGAUAAUCACCCCUGUGGUGUAGAGCCACCGUAAAAGCAGAAUCAGGGGUAAUCUUUGAUUUUGACCAUCUGUAAGAACCUGUAUCUCACCUGACACACACAGUAACCCUGUGUUCCCACAGCUGCAAUUUGCAGAAUCUAAUACAGACCAACUAAAAAUUUAACAUGGCAUUUCUCUCUAGUACACACUCGAGGUAAAGUGAUAGCAGUGUGUGUUCAGGCGUUAAUUAAAGUUGUAACUGUUUCUUUCAUUUUAAAUUUACUGAAGGUGUCUUACAGCCAAAACAUGUCAGAGCAAGGUCUGUCAGUCAUCUAUCACUGACACCAACCAGCGCUCCAAAGAGUACAACAACAGGCAAAGGUAAGUAUCAUUGAAAGGUGGACACAACAAUAGGACAUUAUCAUUCACUGUAGAAACAGCUGUUUCUAUCAUAAAGAUCUAAUUUAUUAACUAAAUAACAAGAUAAAAUAUGGAAAACAAGGAGUGUUCAUUACAGUAUACACCAAAAAAUAAACCUGUUCCAUCUCCCUGAAACAGCCUCCCAGGUGAAAUGAGAGAUUUCUGAAGGGUUCUCUGACUUCUGGAUAAGUGUGAAAUGCUAGAUAGCAAAUUCAGGCAAACAUAGUGUAGUACGAGGGUAGCAGAGAAAGAAUAGUGCCAGUUAUCAUACUAAGUAUGGAGGAGCUAGUUCACAAAAAGAAGCUAUACACUACUGAGAAAUUUAAGAACUAAUUUUGGAGAACUAGGAAGAGCUAGCAUUAACCUGGUACAAAAAGAAAGAAACCAAAGGGGAAAAAGUUCCCAGCUCUAUGAGCUGUAGCAUAAAGAGUCUGUAAGGACAGUACAUAGAUGCAGGAUUUCUAGAGCUGAUAUGGAGUAUGGAAAUAUGUUAAUUUUCACCACACCAUCCUAUUUAUUUCCCAAUCUUUUGCCACAUUUGUUUUCUCAUCCACUUAUUUAAUCUAAUUACUUUUAUCCCUUUCUUUAAAUCAGCACAAUUCAUAUUGGUUUGGGUAUUUAUAUGGAAUAGAGUCGAUAAAAUAAUUUAUAACAAACUAUUUUCUGAAACAUAGAAGCCUCCUUUACUGCUUUUUUGCUAUAAAACAGAGCUACAAGAUGGUGACAUUACUCUUCCAGGACUACAAAAUCUUUGAUUUUCUGAAGGACUGUGUAUAUCGAUAUAUAACUAAUUCAUACAGAACUAAGGGAUAUUAUAAAACUUGCUUUCUGAAGCAUGCCCUUAGGAAAGUGAAAAAAUUGUUUGACUAAUAUAAAGGAAAUUUAAAAAUCAGAUUAAUUAUUUGUUGCCACACAUACAUAUACAAAAUUUCUCUUCUCCCUAACAUUUCUUUUACCAGAAGUGAAGUGACAAGACUAAAGCAGGAGGAGAUUGUACUCAAAAGAGCGAACAAAACUCGCAGGAAUAUUUGGCAGAUUAAGCCACCACUGGAAUCACGGGUACUUUGUCAUUGUAAAUUCCUAUGGUCAAAAAGAAAAUGAUACAUACUACUUGUAUGUGAAUAGCCCUAACAUAUAUAUCAUCUAAUAGCUACAGACUGGGGAAGCAUCCCUCUUUAGCACUAACUUUGGAUUAUUUUGGCAACCCACUGCAAGAAAUUAAAUUUUAACUUAAGCGAUGAUUCAAAAUCAAAGGAAAUUAAAGCUUAAGGUGGCAAAGUCAAAACUUGUGUGGCGGGGUGACAAGGGCAACAAUGAGACAAGCUUUGUCAGUACUAGGAGCCAGGACAGCCUUUGAGUAAGUUUCCUUUUCUGACAGUUUUAAAGGUUGAGUUAGAAAUGAUGCACAACACAAACACGUGACAUUGACGUUUAUAGUCUUGCAAACUGGACUGAUAUUGAGCUUUCCUGAGACUUAGCAAAGCGGCAGUGAAAUUACAAGGGCUUUUUAUAGCAAAAUCAAUUAAACAGAUUAGUUUAUGGGAAAACAUUGCCUUCUCUCUUUUAAGAAAAUGAAGACAAAAUCAGGAUUUAAAAAAUAACAACAAAAGCAAUUCUUUCCCAGAAAUAAAUUACAGACUGCAGACGACUCUAAACAUGUUUCUUUUAAACACAUGGUCAGCAGUUAGACAAAGCAUCAUCUAUUCUCUAAUUUAGCCAUACCUACUCAUAAAUCAUGGAGGCCAUUUCAUUCUCUUUAAUUUUAGAGCAAUUAUAAGCUACGCACUCACCAUAUGAAAGGUUACUAUAUCAAGCAACAUCAGCUACAGCAUCGCCCUGGUUAAGGACACAUAAAAGUUCCCUACAUCCUUCAGGCUGAUUCCCUGCCUUCUACAGAGAGCAGAGCAAACACCAAUGGGUUUUCUCAUGGCUCCAUUUGAACAAAACACAAACAAACUAUGCACUGAAUUCAUCCACCUUCCAAGGACAUAAAAAGUUGUGAUUUCCAAUAAAUUUCUGGAUUUCAAAUGUGAUCCUGUGUUAUUCCCUUUGCUGUUUUUAUUCAUAUGGAAUUAACAUAGUCUUAUCCUAUAUCUAUGCUCAUUUAAAAGGUAAUAGCAGGAUUAACAAACAAAAAAAGGAUGUGUCAGCACUGGGGCACAAAAGAAGAGAGUUGCUGUGUGACCUGUAAAGAACUGCUGUUAUGUAAAUAGCUUUGCAGAAGAGUCACGCUUCCAGGUAGCUGUGAACGCAAGCAGUUGGCACUCAAACGCACUUCUCGUUCUGCAGAAUCAUUUGGAGAGCCAUGCAAACCUAGCAACGUGAAGUGCCUUUCUAGAACAGGCAAUAGCUCUUUUAACACACAAAUCAGAAUAGGCAAAAUCAAUACACCGUUUUUGUGGUUAGUUCAGAUGUGAUUAUCCUUUUAAACUAGCUAGGCAGGCACACAUGCUCUCAUCAAAUAGCAAGGAAUGAUCAAAAAGCUGCAGCUGGAGCACAUCCAUUGUAGACACAUUUGAGAACAUUUAUGUGUGUGUUAUCUUAAUUUUAUAAAAGCAACUGGGAAACAAGGAGAUAGCAGCAUUCAGUGUAAGUCGCAGCGUGAAGAAGCAGAAACAAUCAGGGUGCUUCGGCCAUUGCAAAGUGUUCAGCUGGAGAACGAAACUGAUAGAACAUCGGAAAUGAAGAAAAAAGGCCUUGAUCCAGCUCCCACUGAAGUCAACAGCAAGUCAUUCAACUACCUCAAGGUGAUUUUGAUCAGGCUGCAACUAUGCCAUACAUAAACAGGGCAAAAUACACAUUCGAGGAGGACAAAAAACAUGAUCCAAAAAACAUGAUCCUACGCAAGAAUCCACUAGAAAUAAUAACUGAUGGCCGCAUUCUCUUCACUGCAUUAGUCAGCUACAGAGAGAUUGAGUAGCAUCCCCUAAAAAUAUGCUUUUGUAGUUUGGGUUUUUACUUAGCCGCUUAACCAUUUUGCACUGCUGAAUAUUUUAGAAAUUUUAUGAUUUUUUGUGGUUAUGUUAAAGGAGAUGAAGUAUCGUGCCAAUAAACACCUAGUGUGCUAAGUGAAUACAUUUUCCUUUGGGAAGGUCCCGCUUCAGGUGCUCUGUGCAGGAUGCAACGUGCCAGUGAUAGAAACAAGGUCACACAGAACAUGCACUUGGUACGAAAAAUUAAAUAUAUGGGGUCAAGUUUCAUUUUUUUAAUACAGUGCUGUUAUUCUGCUAGUUCCAAUACGGUGGCACUAUUUUGAAAAUAUGGUCUAGGGAGUGAGUCUGCAACACUGUUUAUAGUGACAGAUGAGAGAAAAGGUCCCUUUUUUCUGUAAAAUGGCAGUAACUGUAAAAUGGCAGUUGAAACUAGACCUAUUUACAGUGGUUUGUGUUGCAUUUUUUUAUUGUUUUUUCCUUCCUUUUUAGUAACAUUAAACCACUUUACUGAUAGAGAAAAAAUAAUGUUAAUUAAAUCAAGGGUUAAAACAAGCUAAGAAUGUAUAGGUUUGUUAAGAUUGUUUGCAGUGGACCUAUAAGGAAGAGCAAUAGGUCCAUGCCUAACUGUUAUUGCUAGUCAGUCAGAGUAGAUUUUUUUUUCUCUUGGCCAGUGUGCACUAUCAAAACACUAAAGCAUCCUUAAGUGAAGUAAGAGAGGAGGAUAAAUAAGGCGGGUGAGAAGUGCAAUAUAUUAAAGA